RNAcentral lists this long non-coding RNA (305 nucleotides) under Erythranthe guttata (spotted monkey flower). RNAcentral describes it as "long non-coding RNA (EGUT_LNC001562)". The record is from RNAcentral. Lineage: Eukaryota; Viridiplantae; Streptophyta; Magnoliopsida; Lamiales; Phrymaceae.
CCGUAGCUAAUUCUGUUGCUAUAAAUUAAUUAACAAACCGCUUUGUUGUUCGUAUGUGAUCUCCGUACGUGAAUUUUCAUAUCAAAGGGACGAGUUUACUAUCUGUCGCUACAUCUGUCGCUACAAUAUUUUAAUUAGAGACGGAUUUAACGGUCGUCGCUAAUGACAUCGCUAUAUAUAAACUAUAGUCAUCAAAGAAACGGAUUUAUAGUCCGUCACAAAUUCCGAAGCUAACUGGUCAAUUUUGAAACGGAUCUAUAUUCCAUCACAAAAGUUCGUCGCUAAAUCGUGAUUUUCUAGUAGUG